Molecule: non-coding RNA, 177 nt
Filed under: Peptococcaceae bacterium CEB3
Lineage: Bacteria; Bacillati; Bacillota; Clostridia; Eubacteriales; Peptococcaceae
Also listed under: 1 other name
Source: RNAcentral
UGAAACAAAAUACCUUGGGGUUCCCUCUUUGAGGGAUAAUAGGGAAGCCGGUGUGAAUCCGGCGCGGUCCCGCCACUGUGAAAGGGAGUUUUCCGUGAUGACCACCGGCGUGAGCUGGGAAGGGACGUGAAAGCGAUGAUCUUGAGCCAGGAGACCUACCCCAGGGUUGGCACAGAC